Molecule: long non-coding RNA, 2132 nt
Filed under: Triticum aestivum (bread wheat)
Lineage: Eukaryota; Viridiplantae; Streptophyta; Magnoliopsida; Poales; Poaceae
Description: long non-coding RNA (TAES_LNC006934)
Source: RNAcentral
AACUGAAAACCUUGUUAAUCAAUGACCAUAAAGCAGGCCAAAUCCAGUAAUCCAAAUCAUUAGAGCUAAAAGCGGAUUGGGAGCCAAAUCAGUUCAAACUACUUGACGGACUAAACAUCUAGAAAGAAGCAUUUCAUCCACAUCUGGAACUUAAGAGAGAUCUACUGACCAACGUCAAUAGCUUCUUGUCUAACCAAAGAGAAAACAUACAAGGGUAGCAGAUCAUAGAAAUUAUAUUGAUGUUAACAGGCAGAAACCUUCUACCUUCUUAAGAAAAAGAAAGCUAAAAUCUUCAGGCAGGGCAUACUUUCAUUCUUUUAACAAUAUAUCGAUCGUUCCUGUUUCCUGUACUAUCAUCAUUCAAUUCAAUUCAAUGUUUUGGAUCUGUACUAUCAUCAUUCAAUUCAUGUUUCCUGGAAACAAAUAACAAAGAACAAAUAAGAUUACUUUGAAUGUAGGAGGUAAUCCUUCCAUUUUUAUGGAAAAUGCAAAACAGUACAUGAUACUGAAAUAAUAUGUUCUGCAACUACCGAUUUUCUCUUUUGGACAGACCCAGUGCAUAGAAGCUCCCACACAAGAUGGGGUCUGGGGAGGGAUUAUAGAAACCUAGUCUUACCCCUGCAAAGUGUAAUGCAGAGAGGCUGGUUCGAACCUAGGACCUCUUGGCACAAGUGGGGAGUACUUCACCACUGCGCCAGGCCUGCCCUACCGAUUUUCUCAAAGGAGAGUAAAUUAUUAAACCAAUUCCGAUUUCUGAAAACAAUGCAAAAUAACCAAGGUAAUGUUGAAGAUGCAUGUGCAAUUAGAACAAGCAUGCAUUCUUGACUAACAAUGAGACUUACAGUUGGCACAACACUCGACCAGUUGAGGCUCAGAUAGAACUGCAAUCAAGAUGCAGGAGGGGGGGGGGGACCGACCAGUUGGCACAACACAUGCCUUGUUAUAUAUUCAUUUCCCAUUUUUUUCCAAGAAGCAUAUUAUUAGUAAGAAUUAAUGGUCAGAAUAUUCAGUGUGUAGUAUUUUGGAAAAUACUACAGCAAGAAUCUCACAUAAGAGAACUUGCGCGAAAUAAAUAAUGUGUGUGCCUAUCAAGGCGACACAAAUACUAUUCUUUUUCUUGUUUAACAUUCAACCAAGAGAAUAAAAGAAGCAUAGUUUCUUUUUAUCAAUUAAAAGAAGCAUAGUUUCUUUUCACCAAUUAAAAGAAGCAUAGUUAUAGGCACCUGUGAGAUCAUCUUCAAACGUGGAGGCACUCAAAGCUGAGUCACCAUGAAGAGAAGCAUAAAUUCUGAGUGCAAUGUUGUGUAUGUAGCUGAAAUUCAACCAUCAAAGACAACCUUAAUAAUAAGCAAUGGUUUAAACAAGCAAUUGUUGAAGUUAAAUGUAACUAGAUAAGAAGUCACAUUUGAUUCAUGAUCAUCGAGCUGAAAAUGACACCGAUAAAAGCUGAGUCACCAUGAAGAGAAACAACUAAUGUGAACCUCGGGUUGUAAAACAAAUAGGAUGAGUCGUGUGCUGAUUGCAAAAAAUUGUACUUCUAACCAAAUGACCAUGCUUCAUGAAUAGAUGACAAUAUAGUAACAGGAAAGUGAAGUACGGUGAAAUUUUGUAAGCUACUAAGGGCAUAGGCAAAGCUCACACUCCAGCUUGUACUGCUUGAAGAAAUCAACCAAAAGCACCCAGAAAGAUAAAGGGCAUUGUGGCCAGGGGCGGACCUAGAGAGUAUCUUGACUGGGGGCAAUCUAUUUGAGUGGGGCGUAUUAUGUAAAAGCUCACAGAAUAUAAGCAUAUUUUUCAAAAAUCAGAAGCAAAUCUUACUGGGAUUUCAAAUUUUGAGAGGGGUCCUGGGCCCCCACUCACCUCAAUGUAGGUCCGCCCCUGAUUGUGGCAUCCGAUGAAUGUUGGUAAUUGUACCAUCACACUAAUUUAAUCUGCAAAAUUCAUGUCGACAUCACUGAUCAUGAUGUAUCAGGUUAGGAUAAAAUCAUGGGGUUUUCCCAAAAUAAAACAAAACAAGCCCAGUUAGAAAGAAAUCAUAAGCCUAUCAGACAAUCAGGCAAUUAUGUUAGCAUGUCAACAAUCAGAUAGAACAGAACCUAUAGUCCUCAAUUUUUUUCCUUCUAAAAAAUGUA